Long non-coding RNA from Cololabis saira (Pacific saury), 496 nucleotides. RefSeq lists it as uncharacterized. The record is from RefSeq and is a predicted model, not a curated record. NCBI's taxonomy places the organism in Eukaryota, Metazoa, Chordata, Actinopteri, Beloniformes, Belonidae. The transcript is spliced from 7 exons.
GAAAGCGAAGCACAAACCGGAAACUCGCUCUUUGAGCGGAGGCGACAGUGGUGAUCGGACGUGUUUCUCUGUAGUUCGUAUGAAGGCUUGUCUGGGGUUUUCUGCAUGGGUACGAGGUGGCAGCAGUAUCGGAGCAUGUGACAUCCUCGUCUUUGGUACGAGGUGGCAGCAGUAUCGGAGCAUGAGACUUCUCGUCUUUGUUACGAGGAGGCAGCAGUAUCAGGCAGUAGUGUGACAUCCUCGUCUUUGGUACGAGGUGGCAGCAGUAUCGGAGCAUGUGACUUCUCGUCUUUGGUACGUGGUGGCAGCAGUAUCAGAGCGUGUGACAACCUUGUCUUUGGGUUCUGGAGCCAGGUGAAAUUAUCAGAACUCUCUUAAAAGGUGCGUAUUUAACUCAGCUGCUGUUGUAUUGUACAUUUUCUGUCAGCAUUUUUUUAUUGAUUUCAACAUGAAUAUUGUAACUGGAUUACUUUUGUAAUAAAAAAUUUUCAAGACA